UACGUAGGGUGCAAGCGUUGUCCGGAAUUAUUGGGCGUAAAGAGCUCGUAGGCGGCUUGUCGCGUCGGCUGUGAAAACCUGGGGCUCAACCCCGGGCCUGCAGCCGAUACGGGCAAGCUAGAAUUCGGUAGGGGAGACUGGAAUUCCUGGUGUAGCGGUGAAAUGCGCAGAUAUCAGGAGGAACACCGGUGGCGAAGGCGGCAUCCUGGACCGGUAUUGACGCUGAGGCGCGAAAGCCAGGGGAGCAAACGGG
RNAcentral lists this ribosomal RNA (253 nucleotides) under uncultured bacterium. RNAcentral describes it as "partial 16S ribosomal RNA". It matches the Rfam family "Bacterial small subunit ribosomal RNA", at positions 524 to 776 of the family's 1533-position model. The record is from RNAcentral.